AAUCAACGCUGGCGGCGUGCCUAACACAUGCAAGUCGAACGCGAAAGCCCCGCAAGGGGUAAGUAGAGUGGCAAACGGGUGAGUAACACGUGGGUGGACCUGCCUUCGAGUGGGGGAUAACGUCCCGAAAGGGACGCUAAUACCGCAUAACACCCUGCCUUUGAAGAGGUGGAGAUCAAAGGCCGGGACCGCAAGGCCUGGCGCUCAAAGAGGGGCCCGCGCCUGAUUAGCUAGUUGGUGAGGUAAUGGCUCACCAAGGCAACGAUCAGUAUCCGGCCUGAGAGGGCGGACGGACACACUGGGACUGAGACACGGCCCAGACUCCUACGGGAGGCAGCAGUGGGGAAUUGUUCGCAAUGGGCGCAAGCCUGACGACGCAACGCCGCGUGGAGGAUGAAGACCU
Molecule: ribosomal RNA, 403 nt
Filed under: uncultured bacterium
Lineage: Bacteria
Description: bacterial SSU rRNA
Rfam family: Bacterial small subunit ribosomal RNA
Source: RNAcentral